GAGGGUAUAGCCCAGUGGUAGAGUGCGUGCUUAGCAUCCACGAGGUCCCGGGUUCAAUCCCCAGUGCCUCCC
RNAcentral lists this transfer RNA (72 nucleotides) under Camelus bactrianus (Bactrian camel). It matches the Rfam family "tRNA". Rfam says of the family: Transfer RNA (tRNA) molecules are approximately 80 nucleotides in length. RNAcentral also lists the same sequence under 3 other names. Lineage: Eukaryota; Metazoa; Chordata; Mammalia; Artiodactyla; Camelidae. The record is from Rfam by way of RNAcentral.